Populus nigra (black poplar) is the source of this 979-nucleotide long non-coding RNA. RefSeq lists it as uncharacterized. The record is from RefSeq and is a predicted model, not a curated record. NCBI's taxonomy places the organism in Eukaryota, Viridiplantae, Streptophyta, Magnoliopsida, Malpighiales, Salicaceae. The transcript is spliced from 2 exons.
CUUGGAUAUGAAUACUUGUAACUGAUAUGCAUGCGAACUGCCAAGGGUGUUCUUUCCUCGCUAUAGAGAACUCCAUGAAGGGCGUCCAGAAAGUAAUGGCCUCAGUAUCUUGACAUUUGAUGCAUUGUUCUACUUGUACUCCCAAAAUAUAAUUUCACCUUGCUCCCCAACGAGACCAGGACUCUUGAGCCGCCUCCUCUCUUGGCAGUAUACCAACUCGUCCAAUUCUGAUUCCCUCUGCUUUAAAGCCUCAUCGAUCCGCAGCACCUUCUUUUCCCCUGUUCUUAUUCCAACUGCAAUCUCAAGCCUUGGGUUGAGUUCAGCUUCUCAUCCUACAGUCCACUCUUGUAUUCAGUUACUACAAGCUUGUCUCCACUAUUGAACAUGAAACAAUCGACAUUAGAAUUUGGAAAGCAAGUAUAACUGCUACCGAAAAGGGGACAGCCGCUGUGUGCCCGGAGAAGUAGAUUGCUCUGAAUCGUCUGGGAACGUUCUUUCUUGAUCGAAAUGUGCAUUAGACUAGCUUUAUUAGAGCUCAGUUUUAUAUAUAUAUAUGUGGAGUUUUUUUUUUAAAAAAAAAAACCAGAAAGAUUGAGAGCUGAAUCGAAAGAGAAGAAGAGAGAAAGAAGAGAAAGGAAGGAGAUGAAGGUUGGAGAAAAUGGGUUUUUAAGAAUAAGGUUUUGGGCACGGAGACGUGAAGACGACCGUGAUCUGAGAAUCCCAAACGCCCAAAGAAAUCAUCCGAUGUUACAGGGGAAGGAAGGAGUCGCUUACGAGGGACUAGGAUUUGUUCUUCUACCUUCAGAAAUUCACGCUGCAAAUAGCUUUUUCACUUAACAGUUGGGUUUUAUUUGUUCUGAUGCUGAAAGAGUAAUUAGUGAUAUAUUGUUAGGUAUUAGUGGAUAUAUUUUAAGAAAUUUGAUAAAUUCUCUUAAUUCCUGACUUUUAAUUUAAGAAAUAAAACAUAUUUCCUAGAUCA